Molecule: long non-coding RNA, 219 nt
Organism: Myotis brandtii (Brandt's bat)
Lineage: Eukaryota; Metazoa; Chordata; Mammalia; Chiroptera; Vespertilionidae
Exons: 3
Source: RefSeq, a predicted model, not a curated record
UUUCCUCCCUCAGCUCCGCCGCCGCCUCCCGCAGGCUGCGGGGUCUGAGGGGGUUAGAGUGACAGGUGUGCCCCGCGGGCCAGGUGGCCUCCGAACCCCGGGAGAAAAGGAGCAAAGGCUGAGGAACGGAGACUUUUCGAACUCCAGCCGUUCAAAGGGGGCCCUCAAAUGUCCAUCCAUGCUGUCGCAAAUGGUCCCUGAUCAUUAACCACGAAUCCA